GGGUGGUGGUAGGUGGUGAGUGGGUGGUGAGUGGGUGGUGAGUGGGUGGUGAGUGGCUGCUGAGUGGCUGCUGAGUGGGUGGUGAGUGGGUGGUGAAGGCUGGUGAGUGGGUGGUCAAAGGCUGGUUAUGGGUGGUGAGUGGGUGGUGAGGGGUGGUCAACGGCUGGUUAUGGGUGGUGAGUGGGUGGUGAGGGGUGGUGAGAGGGUGGUGAGUGGCUGGUGAGUGGGUUGUGAGUGGGUGGUGGGUGGCUGGUGAUGGGUGGUGAGUGGGUGGUGAACAGGUGGUGAGUGGGUGGUGAGAGGGUGGUGAUGGGUGGUGGUAGGUGGUGAGUGGCUGG
This is a long non-coding RNA of Oncorhynchus tshawytscha (Chinook salmon), 338 nucleotides long. Lineage: Eukaryota; Metazoa; Chordata; Actinopteri; Salmoniformes; Salmonidae. The record is from Ensembl.